This 320-nucleotide ribosomal RNA is filed under the name uncultured bacterium. RNAcentral describes it as "bacterial SSU rRNA". It matches the Rfam family "Bacterial small subunit ribosomal RNA", at positions 28 to 350 of the family's 1533-position model. The record is from RNAcentral.
GACGAACGCUGGCGGCGUGCUUAACACAUGCAAGUCGAGCGGUAAGGCCCUUUCGGGGGUACACGAGCGGCGAACGGGUGAGUAACACGUGGGUGACCUGCCCUCAGCUCUGGGAUAAGCCUGGGAAACCGGGUCUAAUACCGGAUAUGACCUCAUGACGCAUGUUGGUGGGGUGAAAGCCUUGUGCGGCUGAGGAUGGGCCCGCGGCCUAUCAGCUUGUUGGUGGGGUGAUGGCCUACAAGGCGACGACGGGUAGCCGGCCUGAGAGGGCGACCGGCCACACUGGGACUGAGACACGGCCCAGACUCCUACGGGAGGCA